GUCGCCAGCUUACCCUGUGAAGGUCUAACAGUAAGCAAAAUGGGUCCAACCCAAAACGUCAGGUCGAGGUGUAGCGCAUGGGGUGGGAAGAAAUGGGCUACAUUUUCUAUCACAGAAUAUUACGAAAGGUAUCCUGAAACAUAAUACCUGAAGGAGGAUUUAGUAGUAAAAAGCAAAUAGAGUGUCUUUUUGAAUUAGGCUCUGAGGCGCGCACACACCGCCCGUCACUCUCCCCUUCCUACCACAAUCAACUAAACAUAAUUAAUUAUACACAUUAAACUACGGGGAGGCAAGUCGUAACAUGG
This 305-nucleotide ribosomal RNA is filed under the name Hypostomus hondae. RNAcentral describes it as "partial small subunit ribosomal RNA". It matches the Rfam family "Bacterial small subunit ribosomal RNA", at positions 1051 to 1496 of the family's 1533-position model. The record is from RNAcentral. Lineage: Eukaryota; Metazoa; Chordata; Actinopteri; Siluriformes; Loricariidae.